This 1445-nucleotide ribosomal RNA is filed under the name Virgibacillus salarius. Its description in RNAcentral is "bacterial SSU rRNA". It matches the Rfam family "Bacterial small subunit ribosomal RNA", at positions 54 to 1391 of the family's 1533-position model. The record is from RNAcentral. Lineage: Bacteria; Bacillati; Bacillota; Bacilli; Caryophanales; Bacillaceae.
AAUGCAAGUCGAGCGCGGGAAGCAGGCAGAUCCUCUUCGGAGGUGACGCCUGUGGAACGAGCGGCGUACCGGUGCGUAAAAAAACCAUUUGGGCAACCCCCUCCCUUUUAAACUGGGGGAAUACCCCCGGGGAAACCCGGGGGCUUAAUCCCGGAUAAAACCUUUUCGUUGCAUAAACAGGAAAUUGAAAGGCGGCCUUUUAGCGUUCCAUUUACCAAUGGGCCCGGCGGGCCCUUAAGCUUAUUGGUUAAGGUAACGGGCUUACCCAAGGGGGAGGAUGGGUAGCCGGACCUGAGAAGGGUGAUUCGGCCCCCACUGGGGACUGAGACCCGGGCCCCGAAUUCCUACGGGAAGGCAGCCGUUAGGGAAUCUUUCCGCAAUGGGACGAAAGUUCUGACGGAGCAACCCCCGCCUAAGUGAUGAAGGUUUUCGGAUCGUAAAACUCUGUUGUCAGGGAAGAACAAGUGCCGUUCGAAUAGGGCGGCACCUUGACGGUACCUGACCAGAAAGCCCCCGGCUAACUACGUGCCAGCAGCCGCGGUAAUACGUAGGGGGCAAGCGUUGUCCGGAAUUAUUGGGCGUAAAGCGCGCGCAGGCGGUCCUUUAAGUCUGAUGUGAAAGCCCACGGCUUAACCGUGGAGGGCCAUUGGAAACUGGAGGACUUGAGUACAGAAGAGGAGAGUGGAAUUCCACGUGUAGCGGUGAAAUGCGUAGAGAUGUGGAGGAACACCAGUGGCGAAGGCGACUCUCUGGUCUGUAACUGACGCUGAGGUGCGAAAGCGUGGGGAGCGAACAGGAUUAGAUACCCUGGUAGUCCACGCCGUAAACGAUGAGUGCUAGGUGUUAGGGGGUUUCCGCCCCUUAGUGCUGAAGUUAACGCAUUAAGCACUCCGCCUGGGGAGUACGGCCGCAAGGCUGAAACUCAAAAGAAUUGACGUGGGGCCCGCACAAGCGGUGGGAGCAUGUGGUUUAAUUUCGAAGCAACGCCGAAGAACCUUACCAGGGUCUUGACAUCCUCCUGCCAAUCCUAGAGUAUAGGAUGUUCCCUUCCGGGGACAGAGUGAACAGGUGGUGUCAUGGUUGUCCGGUCAGCUCGUGUCGUUGGAGAUGUUGUGGUUAAGUCCCCGGCAACGAGCGGCCAACCCUUUGGAUCUUAUGUUGCCAUUGCAUUUAGUUGGGCUCUACUCUAAGGUGAACUGCCGGUGACAAAUACCCCGGAGGAAGGUGCUGGGAUGACGUCAAAUCAUCAUGCCCCUUAUGACCUGGGCUACACACGUGCUACAAUGGAUGGAACAAAGGGCAGCGAAGCCGCGAGGUCAAGCAAAUCCCAUAAAACCAUUCUCAGUUCGGAUUGCAGGCUGCAACUCGCCUGCAUGAAGCCGGAAUCGCUAGUAAUCGCGGAUCAGCAUGCCGCGGUGAAUACGUUCCCGGGCCUUGUACACACC